AUAAAAUAAAAUGGCAUAGCAAAAUGCAAAUAAAGACACUGAACCUUAUCAUUCCUGUCCAACAAUGGAUAAUGCCUCGAUAAACCUUAAAUUACUCCAUUUUAAGAGUUCCCUUAACAGAACCUACACCAACUCAAUCCAGAAGAGCUUCCCUAAAAUGCCUAAAAGGCCCUUAGAGAGACACGAAACUUUGUAGGGCUGCAUGAUUGAGGAAAAUCAUAAUUGACAAUUAUUUCACUUGAUAUUGUAAUUGUGAUUAUUCAUUUUGAUUAAAAUACUUUGUGAUGCAACUGCAUGCCAUAUACUUUAUGUAGGAUACACAUCCAAAAGAAGCUGAGAAUUGUUCCUGAAUUGCUGUAUUGCAUUAAAAAAAAAAAUUCAAAUUUUGCCUACAUUUUGAAUAAAUUAUACACAAAGCGUGCAACAACAAUACUUGAAUACUAGGAUGUCGUUUCUGAUUUCAUGGACCAAUUUAAACAGAUUUUCUGACAGUCUAUUGCAUUCAUGCACACAAUGGACCAAAUGAUGUUGUAAAUAGAAAAUCUUGACACUACAGUAAUAGAUGUAAAUUCAAUGAUGUAAUUGACACUUCACAAUUUGUUAAUUGCAGCAGCUGUAACUGUUAUAUAACAUUGAACAACACUGCCUAAAAGUUGUGAACCCAGGAUUCCCAGUUUUUGACCAAUGAAUUUCCAUGACCUGUCCAGUGGUAUAAUUACUGGAUAAGGAUUUUUAAAAAUCAUCAAGUCAGGCCAGUUUGCUAAUGAGUCAUUCAGACUGGUUAGUGUUUCAAUUGAAUGAGUCAAUUGAAAAGCAAAAUAUAACAAAUCAGACAUCACAACAGGUUGCUAGCAAGUAAAAAAAAAAAAAAAAAAAAAUAUAUAUAUAUAUAUAAAAAUUUUUUUUUAUAUAUUUCUAUAUUGUGCCAUUCACACCAUCAAUAAAGACAUUUAUAGGUAAUGAUACAACUUUGCAUUAAGGAGCAUUGCCAGAGCAAAAUUUCUGUAUUUUCAAAAGGGUCGUGUUCACACAUGACCUCUAAACUGGAAAUUGUAGGUAAUUUUCCGGAAAAGGCAGAACGUGUGAACACGACUAAUGGCACUUCCAUAUUUUCCAAGACCAUGGGAACCACGUAGAUUUGACGUACUGCUACCAUAGUUACCUUAAAUAUUAAUGCCUACUACAGUUCUAGGACAUGCAGAAUUAAAUAGCAAUUUGCAUUUUCAAUUUUGCAGUUAUGCAAGUCUUUGGACAACUACCAAAAUCAGACAAAAGCUAUGAGAACAAGUGGCAGCAUAAACUGAAGAUAGAAUUCCAGAGCCAUAAAUGUUGAAUUAAUCACCUUUGGCCCGAAGGCAGUGGUUCUCAAAGUGUGGGGCACGCCCCGUUGGGGGGGAGGGGGGUGCAGAAGACUGACCCAUCCUCAAAUCUUGUUCACUUUCACACAUUCAACAAAAAAAAAAAAAAAAAGGGGGAAAAAUACACAUAACCGAUGUGCGCAAUUUAUUUUCCUCUGCCUUUAAACUUUAGCCCGGCACCACAGCGCAUCCUGCGCGCGCAGCUCUUGACAGGCCUUGAUGUCAGGUGAGCUCAUAUAAACAAUGUUAUUCUUGCAUGCGCGCCAGUUUCAGAUGAGUGACAAGGUGACUUAACUCUUAAAUUUCGGUCUUUUCCUCACACAACACACUUCAUGACUUCAGAAGAAUUGAGAUCUAAGGCACGAGGGUUAUGGAGACUUUAAGGUGCUAUGAUGUGUGCUUUCAGAGCUUGGACAACCACAAACACGAUCCUCUCAUCCAUCAAUCUUGUGUUUCACGGAUGAAAAAAGUAAUGCUGAUUUUGAACGACAAGGGGUUAAGAAGAAGUGUAGAAGAGCGUUUCCACCCCUCCCUGUUACAGAAGGGGGCUGAACCAAGCUCAGUGUUCUGGCUGGAGCUUUGCCAUUGUUUGAGAUUCCUUUCACGAGUGUCUGGCUGGAAGGGUAAGACUGGUGACUGGGUAAACACUCUCUGCAGCUCUGCUUUCCCAUGACUGUCUAUCCCCACAAGACCAUCAACUGAUUUUUCCACUGCUUUAUGCAUCACAUGCCAUAUACUUAAGACAUGGAUCUGUUUUAGUUUUUAAUUAUAAUAUGACCUGAAUUUUCAAUAUUUUAAGAAUUUACACAGCAUGUAAACCUGUAUGCAAUAUUGUGUAUUUAUUGAUCUUACUGUAAAUACAUUACUAAAGUAAUGCAAUUUAACAUUCAAACAAACAACAAAAAACGUAUAUCAUUGCUAUAAUAAUUAUCCUGUUUUCUUCAAUAUCUAAAAUGUUCAAAUGUUCCAGAAAAUCCUCUCCACGUGAGUCUUGGUACUUGAAGCAAGUAGCUAUUUCUUUGCUAUUAUACAAUAAUUCUUUAGUCAACUUCAAAUAAGUAACAUAUAUAUAUAUAUAAACGUGUAUUCUGAGAAACAGACAUUGUAGAUUUUCUGAUUAGUAUAAAUUAUAAAAAAAUAAAUAAAUAAAUAAAAAAUAGAUAUGCAUGUUUUUGUUGUCAGGGGUGUUUGAUUGUGAUUGUUUGAGGUUUUUCAGCAUUUAACUGUUUAGUGUAACCUGCAUGACAAAGUUAAACACCAGCCACACUGGCUCUGAGGCUUAAAAAUAAUUCUUUAAAUAUAGGGUCCCAAAUGAUAUUUGUUUAAAUGCAAUGGCAAGAAGGAAAUUACGUAAGCAUCCACUCCACCCUCAAUGAAACUGCUAACAUAUGUGUUCUAGAUUUUUAGCCCCACUAUAAACUUCUCUGCAGAAACAACAUUUAUCUGUCCGAGUUUCAGAACAUAAAAGUGUUGAUGUAAGUUUCUGGGGGAAAGAGAUAAAGAAAAAUGGAUAAAUGCAUGCAAAGUUUGUGUUUAGAAAUGUAUAGCUUUUAUUCAUGUAAAGAGUUCCAUAGUGCUCACACUGUGGCAAAUUUUGCAAAUUUAUGUGAACAUGUUAGAGGGUGAAAAAAAAAAUCUCAUCCUGCGAGAUUUGGUCCUCUUUGAAUUCAAAUAUUUUCUUUUAUUAUUCAACUUUUAAAAACACAACAUUUCACCCUGAUUUUCUGACAGGUAACAAGACGUAAAUAAAAACAACAACCUGUAGAUCAUCAGGGCUCAAAUUUCAAAUCUAAUAAAGAAAUCAAAAUGAUAAAACCACCACCAAAGAGUGCAACAAACUAAACUAUAAAGUUUAUAAAGCAAGCAGAAAGAACAUUUAUUUGGAAACUUUAUUUUGUUUUUGUACAUUUCCAUCAUCCAAAUUUACAUUAAAUUCAAGUCCUGAUUUGAAGAUCCAUUUCCGAAAAAAAAAAAAAAAAGAUAUCUUUCAACAUACACAGUUCAUCAUAGCCUUAACUCUGUAUUUAAAACAGCUUGUCCAGCAUCUAUUUGGCCAACUUCAGCUAACUUCAGACAAAAAAUGGGCAGUAUUCAAU
Long non-coding RNA from Myxocyprinus asiaticus (Chinese sucker), 3454 nucleotides. RefSeq lists it as uncharacterized. The transcript is spliced from 2 exons. Lineage: Eukaryota; Metazoa; Chordata; Actinopteri; Cypriniformes; Catostomidae. The record is from RefSeq and is a predicted model, not a curated record.